UGUGUACUCCCUCCGUUCCAAAAUACUUGACUUCCAUUUGUCCAAAAAUUGGAUGUACCUAUAUACUAAAACAUGUCUAGAUACAUAUAUAUUUUGACAAAUAGAAGGCAUGUAUUGUGCAACGGAGGGAGUAGAAU
Molecule: non-coding RNA, 137 nt
Organism: Triticum aestivum (bread wheat)
Lineage: Eukaryota; Viridiplantae; Streptophyta; Magnoliopsida; Poales; Poaceae
Source: Rfam